This 609-nucleotide long non-coding RNA is filed under the name Apteryx owenii (little spotted kiwi). Its description in RNAcentral is "lncRNA (ENSAOWG00000017190.1)". Lineage: Eukaryota; Metazoa; Chordata; Aves; Apterygiformes; Apterygidae. The record is from RNAcentral.
AUGUUUUGCGUAGACGCGUGCGAUCGUUACAGAAACACACAGGCAAAGACUGUCGGGUCAUUCCGGGAAUCCGCACAGCGCCGCGCUCUCGCAGCGCCGAGACGUAAUGACGGCCGGGCGCUUAACGGCCGCGCGCCCAACGGUCACGUGCUCGCGCGCCGCCCAACGGCCGCGGGCCGGGGGCGGCGGUGGGCGGGGCGCUCUCCCCUUUCCGCCGCGCCGCCGUCCUCUGCGCGUCACUUCCGGGUGCCGUCUCGCCGCCGCCGCCGCCGCCAGGAUGAUCCCGCCGGUGCAGGUGUCGCCGCUCAUCAAGUUCACGCGGUACUCGGCCCUGCUGGUGGGGAUGAUCUACGGGAAGAAGCGAUACGACUACCUGAAGCCCAUCGCCGAGGAGGAGAGGCGAGUGGAGGCCGAGGAGAAGAAGAAGCGUGAGGAGCUAGAGCGGAUCGCAAGAGAGCUUGCAGAAGCAAGUGAAGAUUCCAUAUUGAAAUGAACAAAAGACUGGAUCAUACCUUCAUUCAUGGAAGUAUCUGGCUAGGCUCUGAACAGUUUAACUCUGCAUGUUAUUCUAUCAAUAAAGUACUUAUAACACUCUGGCUGUUUUUGUUG